GGUAAGGAUGAAAAGGCGAGGUAAGAGCUCACCGGCGGUACGGUAACGUAUCGGCCUUGUAAACCCCACCCGGAGCAACGCCAUGGAAAGACAUUACUGCGGUCCGCAGGUCUUGAGGAGGCGGCUUGAGCCGGAACGAAAUUUCCGGUCUAGAUAGAUGAUCAUCUUCUACAGAACCCGGCUUAUAGGUUCAACUCGGAA
This 201-nucleotide RNase P RNA is filed under the name Clostridiales bacterium. RNAcentral describes it as "partial RNase P RNA component class A". It matches the Rfam family "Bacterial RNase P class A", at positions 147 to 367 of the family's 367-position model. Rfam says of the family: Ribonuclease P (RNase P) is a ubiquitous endoribonuclease, found in archaea, bacteria and eukarya as well as chloroplasts and mitochondria. Its best characterised activity is the generation of mature 5'-ends of tRNAs by cleaving the 5'-leader elements of precursor-tRNAs. Lineage: Bacteria; Bacillati; Bacillota; Clostridia; Eubacteriales. The record is from RNAcentral.